This 200-nucleotide unclassified non-coding RNA is filed under the name soil metagenome. RNAcentral describes it as "partial contains internal transcribed spacer 2 and large subunit ribosomal RNA". The record is from RNAcentral.
CAUUUCAACCCUCAGGCCCUGUGGCCUGGUGCUGGGGCAUCUACAAGUCUGUAGGCCCUGAAAUAUAGUGGCGGGCCUGCGAAGACCCCGAGCGUAGUAAUUACACAAUCGCUCAGGGCGUCUAGCAGGCUUACUUGCCGUUAAACCCCCCAAUUUUAAUGGUUGACCUCGGAUCAGGUAGGAAUACCCGCUGAACUUAA